UCUCUCUCCUUCUUAAUUAUGCACGCACGCACGCACGCAGCACCCACACCUGCACCGAAAGAGAGAAAGAGAUCCAAUUGUGGAUUAACGAAACGUCACUGCUCGCGCACGUGAGUACACGUCGAAGUUAGACGAACGUCACCGAUGGCACAGCGAUGCUGCGCAAUGUUACUAUUUGACGAACAAAAAAUAAUAACGACGUUAAGGAUGUUAAAUAUCCACACGAAUUGCGCACACUUGAGGCUCAUUUAUCUCUAACAAGUCACGAUUUCAUAUCAACCAUCUGUCGGCAAGCAGGUCUUUCCUCCUCGAAAAGUUUCCUUCCUUUAGCGAAAGGAAAAAUGGGAUAAAAUUCGAAGAAGGGAUAUCAGAGUGAUCAAGAAAAUCGGAGGGAGAGAGAGAGAGAGAGAGAGAGAGAGAGAGAGAAGAAAGGAGAAAAAAUAGAGCGCGCGCGCGCGUUCCCUAGAAAGAGAGAGAGGGAUGAAAGAGAUGACAGAGGGGAUAAAGGGGGUUAGAGGGGAGGGAGAGAUCUAGAUAUGCCUGCCGGCUUAAGCUUGUCAAAGAAACAUUUGAUGGUGCUCCUCUUGGAGAGCAGUGGUGGUUGCGGCGGCGGUGGCGGUGGCGGUGACGGUAGCUGUAGCAACGAUAAUAAUUCCUCGUAAUUCUCUUGUCUAUUCCUAUUCGUUUUUUCUUUCUUUUUAGGGAUAGAGACGAUACGAUCCCACGUCACGUACGAGUGGCAAAGUGCGAACAACGAAGCGGCGGAAGUAACAGUGAGCAAGAUGGAAAGACACGCGUCUCGAAGCUGCCGCGAGUGACUAAGCUCGUCCAAGUCGAGCGAGUCAUGCAGUAGGAAGUAUCGCCUACUUGCUUGCCGCCAGAUUCUAUCCCCACUUUGGUAUCGUCGAUAUCGCCAACGUUCUACUCGGAGAGAUGGAAAGCGAGCGCCCUGAUCCACCACUGGUGUGCGCCGUCGAUGCGCGCGCGCCUGAUGCGCACCGUUCAUCUGCGCUAACUUGUCCCACUGCUCUCCAAUUCUCCUUCAAAGAUACUGACCACUUGUUUGGAUCGACGUGUUCCCGAUGAAUAGAGCCACCCUUUCCAUCCCUCCUCGGAUUCGCACCCCAUCGUGACGAAACAUUUCAUUUUCAUUUCGACCAAUUAAAGUGCUAAUGAAGAAUCUUUCCCUAAUACUAAUCAAAAAACUUAUGAUUGGAAUGAAACGAAAAAAUUGAUACAAGAGAGAGAGAGAGAGAGAGAGAGAGAGAGAGAGAGAGAAAACUAUCAAACGGCCUAGUCUUUGCUUAUCCGAAAAAUAUGAUACAAGGGAAAAUCUACUGGGAGAUGGCAGCACCAUCUACGAGGAGGAGGAGGAGGAGGAGGAUUUCAUUUUACAUUAAAUGAUCCUGAUAAAAUUGCAUCUAAAAUGCAUUUUAAUUGCGUCUGCGACGAUCGUCUUAUUGAUUUCGCAUAUUUCAUAUUUUACUGAUUAUUUUGAAUUUUGAAAAACAGGACAGCGCGCGCGCGCGUUUAUCUAUUUACCGUCCAAAGUCGAACGUGAUGAAAUUCCCGCGGCACUCAUUGGAGAAGGAGCUUCGCCAAUGAGGCGCCGACGUUAAGCGUCUUCUCUCGCGAAGAGAAAUAAUCGAAGUGCAGCCUACGAUAAACGGGUAGGGAACUCCGACGAGAGACUAUGGAAGGGGAUUCGCUGACUUCCUCGUAGCUUCCUCGUAAUUGUUAUCGCGAUUGUUGCCACCGAGUUAAACCUAACCGAUCGUUGACACACUCGAGGAGAAUGAAACUGCGCGUGGUCAAACCGCUUUUCGAAGUGUCCAAAGACCAAAGUCGCUUGUAUUUGUUGACUGCCUGCACCAAGUGCCAAGUCCGCCCGCGUUUGAUAGAUUGUUCCAACCCUGACGCAAAUCUGACAAAAUUCACAAACUUUAGGAUGCGUUCGAAACAUAUAUUACAAAAAUAAAAAGUAAGUAACAUAAGAACAAUAUUGUUUGGUGAAAAAAAAAGCGCGCCAAACAUCAUGACCAGCACCAUCAGUCACAAGCACCAUAGGAAUUGGUGCUACUCAUAAGCCAAGCAGGCAGGCAGGCAGGCAGGCAGGAAGGCAAGCAGGCAGGAAGGCAAGCAGGCAGGCAGGCAGGCAGGCAGGCAGGCAGGGCAGGAUAUAACAGGAACCCUCACUUCUACGGAAGGGUCUCCGAAAAAGAUGAGAAAAAAGGUCAUGUGAGGAUAGAAGGGAGAAAAGCAAGAAAGGGAAACGGACUGAGUUUACCGCCUAUGAAUACACGUUCACCUGCGCGAGCGCGAACGCGCGUAACAUAAUACCAGGAGGAUCGCCUCGUAGAAAUGCCAAAAGAAUUUAGUUACAAGAGCAUGCGUUAUCUAGGGACUCUUUGGGACGCAUUGGGACGCAUUGGGACGCAUUGGGACGCAUUCGUCGAACCUUCGAACCUUUUCUAUAUACGCACACUUCUACAAGCGCGAUUACCCCAUAUCUCCAUAAACGAUGUUCCUUUUUUUCUUAUCGUUCUCGGUUUUGACAUUUCAAAAAUAAUGCUCGGGCUUGCGAUUAAUUAGGAAAUCAAAUAUUUUAUAAACAAAACAAAAAGAGACAAAGAGACAAACAUAUGUAUAUACAUCUAUAGGAUUGAUCCGGCGAGAGAAUUAGAUAGAAGACAUUAUACCAUUUGUUUCUUAUUAUUUUGGCCUACUCUUAACGAGGUGCUUCGUAAUCCCAACUCCUGGCUACUAACAAUAAGCGUUGCAGAUGUGUGUUUGUGUGCGACUGCAUACUACGAAGCCUAGACUCAUAUUAACUCAAUCCACACACUUAAAAAUAUAAGUUAGUUCUUCGACUGGCCACUAGACUAUUUACGUUUGUCAUAAGCAAAACUGUAUUAUAGUCUUUACAUAAGACUCCAACAUUAGAAAAAUUUAAGAUCUUUAUUUACAGGAUAAUGUCUGCAAUAUAAAAAUUCAAAUAUGCUCUCAGCGUAAGGCUGAGUCGAUGCAACUGUCAUGAGGAGUUAGUCGUAUCUAUCUUUUGUAAGAUUAACAACGAUUCAGAAUGUAAUUUGUAAACUGAUGGGUCUGUCGCACCUUUUACUUCUAAGUAAAGGGAACUAGAAGAAGAGAGAGAAGAAUCGAAGGCGUACAAUGUUCUUAUCGAAAGCACUGGAAUGAAGGAGGACGAGCGAGCGCUCAAAGAAGAAAGAAAAGGGUAGGAGGACAAUCGACGAUAUGCGCCAGGGUUUGCUGUUGUGUUUGCUGUUGUGUUUGCCCAACAGCUCCACUCGUCAUCCCGGAUGUACAACAUCUUUAUAUGCUAUUCUUCGAUGCAGUUACCUACCAACGCGAUUCUUCUCUUUUUCACCUAUUAACGAGUCUUCUUGAACUAUACCUAACUGCAUAUAGAGACAUGUAUGUACCCGUAUCGCGAAUACAACAGAAAUCAUAUAGUAUAACGUAUUACAAUAAAUAUUCGACCAAUUGAAAAAUAAACAAAAAGACAAAUAUCUAUCUAAUCUAAUUAGACGAUUAUUUAAUAAAUAAUAGAAUCGUUUGGUUAUUCAACUGAAAAUCCGACCGAACAAGUAUUCGUUGGUUCGUUUGGAGAAAGUGUCUCUUGUACCGAUGCCUUAAGGCGCAUUUCACAUGCGCUUUAAGAGCUCCGACUCGCCGCGAGCCGUCUGUGUGUGUGUGUGUGUGUGUUAACGCACGCUCGGCUUAUGUAAUCGGUUACGGUAAUAGCGUGGUAGUUAUAGCAAUCCGGGAGCAACCAACGGGUAACACAAUUCCUUGUUAAUACGCUAACGAAUACACUAACUCUUACAUUGUAUGCUUGAUAUUGCCAAUUUUCAUUGGAGAUUCCUCUUUUAAGCAUAAUAACUAAUAAAAAAUAAGAUUUUUAAGGUGACCGAGCGUUUCAUACAUUCUUAGACUCGUCGAAAUUGCGAUCGUUUUCUUGUUUUCCAAUGCAACAUGAAUUAAUUGUAAUUGUAAUUUUAAUAAUGCGUUAACGUUCGAACACGUAGUAAACUCUGGAAGUGAGCGGCAGACGCUUACAGCAAUGGCGACUUCAUGAUUUGACCCGUCGAGCCGACGAACCGGUUAUCAAUGCUCGGAAGCGUGUCGUUCGGCUCGAUUACGAUACGUCCUCCUCGAUGUAGGUGAGUACAGGAGCGUAUCGUGGCGUACCUUCCCUACUCAAUGCUACGCUAUUUUUUAUUGAAAUUCUGUCUUUUUAGUUUAUUUUAAGGAAAGACCAAUCCUGAAAACGAAUUGCUUUAACCUUCGAACCAAGUUUUUCGUAUUAAUUUGAAAAACGUGUAGGUAGGAAUUGCAUAAGUCUGGCUGGGUACGUACGCGAGCACUCGCUAAAGGCAAAGGCAAAGGCAAAGGCAAAGGCAAAGGCAAAGGCAAAGAGAAUCGGAUAGGAAGACGAACGAGCGGAACUGAGGUCCGUGGAGCUUCCUUUCCUUUCGACAUGCCUGGCUGCCUUCUCAUCCUCUCCCACAGAUUACAACCAACUUUUCUCUCUCUCUCUCUCUCUCUCUCUUGCGUGCGCGCGAGCGUCCAGGAGUACCUUCACUUGCUUGCACGAACAGCACACGUUCAAGCACAGGUUCUAACAUACACGCUCACCUUCUUACUCUCCCUCUCUUGCUUACCGAUGUGUAAGCACUACCACGUUAACAACGAGCAACGAGCCGCUGCUAAUACUACUAAGAACAACAGUAAUGGUCGUAAGACUAUUCGAAUCGGAGCAGGUCUGAAAAAGAAGGAACUACGUUGGACGCACCUACUUCCGGGAUGCGUCUUACCUCGGCGCACCUUCACCAACGAGUGAUGAUACGUUCUCUUAAUGAUCUUUACAUCUCAUAUAUUAAAACAUGUUUUAUUAAAUUUAUCGAAAUCUUAUUUUCUCACGAAUUAGACAAAUCUUCAUUUGUCGUACCUUAUUAAGAACGCAACGACAGAUCAUUCUUUGCGAGUAAAACGUUAGCGCGCUUAUAAUGGAGGAAGCCAUUACCUCAUUCCGCAUCCUUAAGUUCCUAUCGAACCGCUCUACCGACUCGACCGACGAUCGAACCACUUUACUUUCUAUCUAACGUUCGAACUUUAGCAAAAGAAGAGGAUUAAACGCAGGAUACGUCAUUGGAAAGAUUCUAGCUCGAUUGCUCAUGACAAAGGUAUUCAUAAAUUCCUCCUUCUAACGAACAAAUCAGACUACAUCGAAUAUCUUUGCGACCUCGAGAAAAUGCUCGUGGCACGAUAACCACUAACGCCGCCGAGUUCGAAUAACAUUAAAAUCAUUGUGACCUUAUCUCCAAGCCUGCGUACUUUCACCUACUCGAAGUACGGCUCUAUGUUCAAAUAUAUGUAUAAUAGUUUAGCGCGCUAUCCAUACGAUGCUUCAAAUUGAUGCAUAUAUUGUAUAUUGUAAUGAUAAUUAACAAGUUGAAUCACAUGAAAAGAUCCUUUCUCUCAUGCGAAAAGAAGAAGUAGGAGAAGAAGAAGAAGCAGCAGCAGCAGCAGCAGCAGCAGCAAGAAUUAGAGUUACUUGAAAUUAUGUAAUCGCUUUCUUCAUGUAAAUGCUUCUUACGAGCGCAAUCUUUUUGCCUGAUCAGUCCCUUUUAAUGAAAACCCUUAGAGUUUUACGAAAAGCAUGAAAUUUUAACAAAAAAUUCCAGGCGAUCUGCAAAUGUAUGAAAUUCCAUACGUUCACCGAUUUUCUCUUGUCACGACAACAUAAGGUGCGCAUAAGGUGAAGGUAUCGAUUGCGCAACAUCUAUAUUAUGCAACGAAGGCGGCUUCCUGCUGUUAUCCAAUCGUCCGGAGCACAGGAACUCGAUAUAGUUGCACAGUCGCUAUUUUCAUAACUUUUCUUUUUCUUAGCUUCGUCAAAGUGUUCGGAUAAAUCAAAUUAUCCACGUAAUAACGAACAGGUUUUUCAUUUAUCCAAAUAUCUAUAGUAUAUGGAAUAAGCAUUUUGCGAGUAUUUGCAUUUGCAUUUAGAGAAUUAUUUUGGAAGCCGUAGCGCGCAUCUGACAUUUGGAACCGUUGCGAAAGCGACUGUGGGAAGUUCUACGCGAAGCUGAUAUUUACGCGCGAAGAAAGUAAAGGCACCAGAGCCAUGAUGUUUCGAGUUCGAUCGAUUCUCGCUUAUGUCGCAAACAAGAUUCUCCAUCUCCUCCAUUGGGCUAUACCUGCGUAUACCAAUGUCGAAUCCAAUACUGGACACGCAAUCAUGCACGUAUAGAUAUAGUUCGAAAGAAGAUAGGAGGAACCCACGCCUUAUACUCACCCCCUGUGUUCGCUUCUCUACAAUUCCCCUUCUUACGUCUGCCCUUACGACGGCCCUUACGUCGAAAUCUGGCCACACCUCGAGAAUACUCUUCCGAGUAUUAGUCACUUCUAGCACAGCUGGGUUACGUCCCCGGAGUUUUUGCUGGUUCUUCCCUUCUCCAUUUUCAAGACUGAAUCAAUCUCGGUUUAUCCUAGAGAAUAGCGGCAAAUUUUUUCAUGAUUUUUCCAAGAUGCGUAUUGCUUAUCACACAAUUAUUCACAAUAUAUUGUAAUAUAAAAACGUAACGUGAAUGAAGAUUCGUUUGCUUUGCUUUUUAUCCUUGCGCUUUCCUAAUCGAUAGCGCGUGCAAUGCGUAUCUAGGUUGCUCUUGUGAAAAUGGGAAUAUAGCGAAGGGAGCUGAUUUAGGAGAGAGAGAGAGAGAGAGAGAGAGAGAGAGAGAGAGAGAGGGCUGAAUUUGUUUGUCGAACCGGGCUUCUCUGCUAAUGCCCUAGUUAGUACUUUGGUUUCUUUUGUGCCACCCUCCGGCUACCACGUCCCCCAAAUCCGUGGAUUUGAACCCUCGCAGGAACGGGAAAUGCACCCUUCCGCUAUUCUACUACGGCUAUUCUACGUUGUAGAAUGCAAUUUUCAUUUUGCACGCAGUUCAAACGCAUCGCCGACCUUUAUAACGUUUUUGCUCGUCUCUCUCUCUCUCUCUCUGUUUAAUAAAUCUAUUUUAUAUUUUUUUUUUUUAAAUAUAAUAAAGUAUAAGAAGACUUAGGAAUUUCUUUAGUUUCUUCCUACUAUCAUAAGUGAGUUGUUUAGUUUUUUGAUCUGUCGAAUUGGAAUACGUAGACCUUGUAUCAUAUUCGUCAACGAAUAUAAGGGAAGCCCUUCUCACCGAUGUUUCGUAUUUUGAAAGCAAGCCACUCUAAAUGAUGAGAUUUUCGAUGGCAUCCGUCGCGCGGCCAUCCGACCCUUCGGUCGCGUUUGUUGAAAGAAACCGGAGCGCAUUAAAGUAUUGCUGGAGCGCUUUCGCUUUUGGCUUUGCUUUUGCUUUUGCUUUUGCUUUUGCUUUUGCUUUUGCCUUUAUGGCCGCCUGGAACAAUGACGAAUCCCCGACGUCAUUGUGGUUGCCCCUGCAGCUCCGAUGAAAAUACAGGAAAGGGAAAAAUAUAAAAGAAAGCGCGAAAGGCGAAUGUAGGAAAAAAGAAAAUGGAAAACAAAAAGAAAAAAAGAGCAAGGUGUGCAUCAGGCAACAGUCACUCGCUCCUGAUUACACGGACCAUUGUGCAAUAACAACAAAAUCGGUAUACGAGAGGAUGAGUGUAAAAUAAUGCCUAUGACUGGGGUAAGAACUAAGGGUAAGACCUAAGGGUAAGACACAGGCUACAACGGUAUAGCGCAAAAAAAAUAAGUAACAUUUUUUCAAUUAAUGAAACAUAAAGCAAGAUAUAACUUUUCCAUAAUGACCAUCAGCAAUGAAGCAAUCUUCAACAAUCCCCCGGAUAUUAAUACUCCUCCAAUAAGCAUACAUUUAUAAUGGCAUUUCUCCAAGCCGACUUGCUAAAUUGUUAUUGAUAAUAUUUUUCUAUUGACAAUAGGAAUACAAGUAAAACCUUCUUAUGGAAUAGAAUAGAUAUUUCUAAAUUUUCCAAUAUAAAAUUGUCAUUUUAUCGUCUUCCUCUCAGAUAAAUGCUGCUUUGAUCAAACAAAAACCUUCAUCUUUUCGUACACAUUUAACAAAAAUGAAAUGUUCAUAAAGUUACAUUAAUGAAUCUUAUGACAAUACUGUAUACUAAAAAGAAAAAGAUUCUAGUUUUUACGUAUACCACGUAAGCCGCUGUGUUACAACGAAUGCACGUGCAUCGGAUUAAAGACUUGUCGUUGAUUCUUCGCUAACCUGUCGCGGAGAAACCGGAAACGAGUUGAAUUCUUACGUGGAAACGCCUUGAUCCCGCAGGCCAAGCAGGUAGGACUGGUAAAACGGGUGGGGCUUCCGCUUUGAGAUCGUCGAUCAGGAUUGAUACAUCGAUCAUUCCUCAUACGUAUAAAAGAACCGUACAAGUAGUUGAACAAUCCUUAUCACGAGUAAUCUCAUUAAUCGCCAUAAAGAGCUUUGUAUUUUUUCAAAACAUGACGUUCCUACGACUGAUGUGAAUCGUAAAAAAACAUAAAAAAACUACGUAGGAAAUAAUUAAUAUACAAUAUAUUAGGUAUCGGUAAAUCCUGAGCAAUGUAUAUAUAUAUAUAUUAUAGUCUUUUAUUUGAUUUCAUUAACGAUUAUAUAAAUGCGUUCCUUGGACAAAGAUUUCGCUACUUUUGUAACCUUUUGCUCAUGAUACAUAGAUACGACGCGAGAUCACUGAAGAACUUUAACAUAAACCGCAACACAGGAGGAUGAGGCAAUGUUACCAAGUAUCGACGUUUCGGUGUAACGAUAUCUUCUUUGAAGGUUUUACGUGUCUACGACCUUCUAAGGGUGCGGUUGCGAUCGCGAGAUUCUAACGUUAUGACAUUCGAACGAACGAUGUCAAAUGAAUUUUAGUAUUUGACAAAAGAAAUCAAAUAUAAGUGCAUAUCGCGACAACAACGACUAUGAAACUAAUUUAGAUAGAAAAUAAAUAGAUUAUACUUGGACGAAUGUUGAAUUUUGAUUGAGAGUUGAACGCGCGUGAGUUAUAAGCAAACGCGAGUCCUAACAACUAUUUCCCACGAUUCAUGAUACGCGUCAAAAUAUUCAUCAUCGAGUAGGGAUAACGGUGCUGAGAUACUUUUCGUUCGAACAGCGACUUUAAAUCCCGAAGCAAGGUAGUAUCGGUAUUUCUUGCGGUUCUUUGUCCCGCAGGCCGUAUACCAACCUCACCUCACCUGUGCCAGGCCAGUUCGUCCAAGUAACUCGAUCACGCGUGGCAUACCGUGUAUGUGUGCGUGUGUGAGAGAGAGAGAGAGAGAGUGUGUGUGUGUGUAUGUGUAUGGGGUAUUCCUCCCUCCUCCAACUAUGGUAACAUCCUUCGAAGCGUCUCCAUCUUCGCACUCGCUUCAUCUAUUCUCACAGUACAAAGUUAUCGUUUUGCUUCCAUUUCUGUUUGUAUUCCUUUUACGAAGAAGAAACAUCGACCGAAUUAUUGCUAGUUGAGAUUAUAACAAAUGAUAGAGAAAAGAGGUGUUAAUGUUCCAACGUAUGUAUCUUGAUUCGAUUAUAGAAAAGAAAAAGCGAUAAAAGGAAAUAGCGUAGAAGGUAUGGUGAGACGAGGUGAGACGAGAAGGGAAAAAUGGCCGCACAGCAGGUCGGUCAUAGACUGCUUUUUCUAAAGAGUAUGAGAAGCUGGAAUAACCGACCCGAUGAACCGAGGUUCCGGAGGACAGAACGGUACACGAUGCCUUCCUCCUCUUUCUUCUCCAACCUUCACCGAGAGGCCACCGAAGAUGAGGGCCAGCAGGACCUCGGAGUUCCCACUCUUGGAAUUCCUAAGUACGCUUCUGAUGGACACGCGCUAGUAUACGUAUACGGUACUCGCGUCGUUUGUUACUUUGCCAAGGUACGCAAUGUAUGUAUGUUUUUAAGAAAAUAGUUAACGUCGUUGCACUCUUAUUCGCCUUAUUCUGAUCGCAACCACAUAUAAUUCUAUUUUCUACUAUUAAACAUUAUUUUCUUGCAAACAUUUAUCAUCGUUUGCGCAUCCUUUAGGCGUCUAUUAGGCAUCUAUUACGCGUCGUUUACGCCUCGUUUACGUAUUGAAUAUUUCAAACGAACGCGCUUGUUUCGAGUCAUCCUGGAGGCAGAGCUCUACGUUGUAAGUUAAAUCUCUAAUUGAAAUCAUUUCAACUUGCUUCGCAAUCUAGACGCGUUGAGAAAGUUUUGACUCUCGAGCGCAGCAACUCGGACGAAAAGUACUUGCUUGCAAUAAGCAAAAAGUAUCUGUCUUUUGCAACGAUUGUUUAUUCCACAUUUCCAAUUCUUAUGGUAUUCUUGCCAUGAGAGCACUUUAAUAGACGAUUAAAGGUCAACGACAAUUCCGAGAACACUCGACAAGUUUCAUCUCGAUGUUCUAAAAUGACCCCAAUGCUGCCUUAAUUUAGACAAUUUGUCGCGUGGUCCUAUCUCGACGAUUGCUAUUAUAUACGCUUCUUCAUCCACCUUCACAGACAUAUCCUCCUCACACUUUAUCCUACUUUUGAUCCUUAUCUCUUGCAAAGCUAUUACGAUUUUACGAUUUUACGAUUUUACGAUUUUACGAUUUUAGUGCUUUUCCUAAUUCUAUCGGUAAAAGGAAAACUUCUUUUCCCUGAGACAAUUCAUCCAAAAAAUCUCUUUGAUUUUCAAUUUGAAAAUUCGUCAACGAUACGAAAAAAUGAAACGCGUAACGCGCGAGUGUUCUCCUCUAUUUCCGUUGACGCUUACGUCGUAGCUCGUCGUAGCUCGUCGUAGCUCGUCGUAGCUCGUUGUAAUCAGCCAUAAAGACCCUCGAGUUCCUCCAAGACGAAGGCAAUUCCCCGAGAUGAAGCAGAAGAGAAACGAUGAAACGAAUGGAAGAAGAGGGCACUCCGUUAUCGUUCACCUCUCAUAACGGUUUCUUCGACGGAGGGCGCGAUCCCACAUCGCUUCGUGUCGUCGCUCAGUAAGAAUGGUCCGCCGUUUAUAUCUUUAAGUAUCUCCCUCUGUAUAUGCCCGUGUAUUGUAUCUAACCGAUACGUAUUCAACAUAUUUAUUACAUCAGCAGAUAAUCUACGCCCUGACGCAACUUAAACGAAAUAAAUAAAAAGCAUCUACAAUUUAUCUCUAAUAUUUUAUUUAUUUUCAAAUAUUUCAAAUCUUUCUAAUAUUGAGAGAUAAAGAGAGAAAGAGAGAGAGAGAGAAAGGGAAUAAAGUUACAAAGUGUAAAGGAAUACGAAUGUAUCAUUUCGUAGCUCGUCGUAAUAACACCUUUGUUUCCGGUAAUGGAACAAAACGCCAACUCCUUAAAUGCUUUUAUACCCUCGAUGUAACGGCUCCUCGUGACUUCUUUGGCUUCCGGUACAAGCGAGGGUCACCGAAGACCCGGAAGUUCGUUCGACUCAGCGCAUUAACUUUCCUCGGAGCCCCUCAGUAUUAUAUACCUUUCAAGCCAUUGGAUACUUUGCGAAUUGUAGCACGCGGAAGAAUAAGUGGAAAGGCAAUCUAUGAUACUACAAUCAUUUCAUCUUUUAUUUUUCCUUACAAACGGCAUUCUAAGACCAGCAAGAGAACAACGUUGCUCUAUAAUAAUUACUCGAAUAUUUAAUAUACAAUAUAUCUUCUAUUCUAUUUCUCCAAUAUAUAACAUUAAUAACUGACUUGAAGAAUCAAUGUACAUGUAUUAAGCUUAGAAUUCAAACUAGUAUGUGUUACAGUUCACCUACGUACAUUUAUAUAACGAAACCAAUCCAAAAGAGACAUACACGCGACACCUAUCCUUGCGAAUGUAAAAUUCGCUAUAUGAAGCGCCACAUGUAGGAAAGAUGUGGGAAGAUUCAACGACAGUAUUACAUUACCACAUUUACCCUACAAUUGGCCCUAACGCGCUUGACGCCGACUCAAUUAAGAGGACUCUUUCUCUCUCAUUCUCUCUUUACCAGUAGGAAUAAAUGGACGUAAAAA
This is a long non-coding RNA of Polistes dominula (European paper wasp), 11924 nucleotides long. RefSeq lists it as uncharacterized. NCBI's taxonomy places the organism in Eukaryota, Metazoa, Arthropoda, Insecta, Hymenoptera, Vespidae. The record is from RefSeq and is a predicted model, not a curated record.